AAGCACCGGCUAACUCCGUGCCAGCAGCCGCGGUAAUACGGAGGGUGCGAGCGUUAAUCGGAAUUACUGGGCGUAAAGCGCAUGCAGGUGGUUUGUUAAGUCAGAUGUGAAAGCCCGGGGCUCAACCUCGGAACUGCAUUUGAAACUGGCAGACUAGAGUACUGUAGAGGGGGGUAGAAUUUCAGGUGUAGCGGUGAAAUGCGUAGAGAUCUGAAGGAAUACCGGUGGCGAAGGCGGCCCCCUGGACAGAUACUGACACUCAGAUGCGAAAGCGUGGGGAGCAAACAGGAUUAGAUACCCUGGUAGUCCACGCUGUAAACGAUGUCUACUUGGAGGUUGUGGCCUUGAGCCGUGGCUUUCGGAGCUAACGCGUUAAGUAGACCGCCUGGGGAGUACGGUCGCAAGAUUAAAACUCAAAUGAAUUGACGGGGGCCCGCACAAGCGGUGGAGCAUGUGGUUUAAUUCGAUGCAACGCGAAGAACCUUACCUACUCUUGACAUCCAGAGAAGCCAGCGGAGACGCAGGUGUGCCUUCGGGAACUCUGAGACAGGUGCUGCAUGGCUGUCGUCAGCUCGUGUUGUGAAAUGUUGGGUUAAGUCCCGCAACGAGCGCAACCCUUAUCCUUGUUUGCCAGCGAGUAAUGUCGGGAACUCCAGGGAGACUGCCGGUGAUAAACCGGAGGAAGGUGGGGACGACGUCAAGUCAUCAUGGCCCUUACGAGUAGGGCUACACACGUGCUACAAUGGCGCAUACAGAGGGCGGCCAACUUGCGAAAGUGAGCGAAUCCCAAAAAGUGCGUCGUAGUCCGGAUUGGAGUCUGCAACUCGACUCCAUGAAGUCGGAAUCGCUAGUAAUCGUGGAUCAGAAUGCCACGGUGAAUACGUUCCCGGGCCUUGUACACACCGCCCGUCACACCAUGGGAGUGGGCUGCAAAAGAAGUGGGUAGUUUAACCUUCGGGAGGACGCUCACCACUUUGUGGUUCAUGACUGGGGUGAAGUCGUAACAAGGUAGCGCUAGGGGAACCUGGCGCUGGAUCACCUCCUUA
Molecule: ribosomal RNA, 1046 nt
Filed under: Vibrio vulnificus
Lineage: Bacteria; Pseudomonadati; Pseudomonadota; Gammaproteobacteria; Vibrionales; Vibrionaceae
Description: bacterial SSU rRNA
Rfam family: Bacterial small subunit ribosomal RNA
Source: RNAcentral